RNAcentral lists this ribosomal RNA (229 nucleotides) under uncultured bacterium. RNAcentral describes it as "partial 16S ribosomal RNA". It matches the Rfam family "Bacterial small subunit ribosomal RNA", at positions 568 to 796 of the family's 1533-position model. The record is from RNAcentral.
CUUGUAGGCGGUCUACUAAGUCGGUUGUGUAAGCCCAUGGCUUAACCAUGGAAUUGCGACCGAUACUGGUGGACUUGAGUGCAGGAGAGGAGGGCGGAAUUCCAUGUGUAGCGGUGAAAUGCGUAGAUAUAUGGAGGAACACCGGUGGCGAAGGCGGCUCUCUGGACUGCAACUGACGCUGAGGAGCGAAAGCGUGGGGAGCAAACAGGAUUAGAUACCCUGGUAGUCC